RNAcentral lists this ribosomal RNA (466 nucleotides) under uncultured bacterium. RNAcentral's name for it is "partial 16S ribosomal RNA". It matches the Rfam family "Bacterial small subunit ribosomal RNA", at positions 28 to 507 of the family's 1533-position model. The record is from RNAcentral.
GAUGAACGCUGGCGGCGUGCUUAACACACGCAAGUCGAACGGAAAGGCUCCUGCUUGCAGGGGUACUCGAGUGGCGAACGGGUGAGUAACACGUGGGUGAUCUGCCCUGCACUUCGGGAUAAGCCUGGGAAACUGGGUCUAAUACCGGAUAGGACGAUGGUUUGGAUGCCAUUGUGGAAAGUUUUUUCGGUGUGGGAUGAGCUCGCGGCCUAUCAGCUUGUUGGUGGGGUAAUGGCCUACCAAGGCGUCGACGGGUAGCCGGCCUGAGAGGGUGUACGGCCACAUUGGGACUGAGAUACGGCCCAGACUCCUACGGGAGGCAGCAGUGGGGAAUAUUGCACAAUGGGCGCAAGCCUGAUGCAGCGACGCCGCGUGGGGGAUGACGGCCUUCGGGUUGUAAACUCCUUUCGCUAGGGACGAAGCGCAAGUGACGGUACCUGGAGAAGAAGCACCGGCUAACUACGUG